Molecule: ribosomal RNA, 294 nt
Filed under: uncultured bacterium
Lineage: Bacteria
Description: partial 16S ribosomal RNA
Rfam family: Bacterial small subunit ribosomal RNA
Source: RNAcentral
AUUGAACGCUGGCGGCAUGCCUUACACAUGCAAGUCGAGCGCGAAAGGGGGGCAACCCCGAGUAGAGCGGCGGACGGGUGAGUAACGCAUCGGAACGUGCCCAGUAGUGGGGGACGAACCUCGAGAAAUCGAGGCUAAUACCGCAUACGACCCACGGGUGAAAGCGGGGACCGCAAGGCCUCGCGCUAUUGGAGCGGCCGAUGUCCGAUUAGCUAGUUGGCGGGGUAAGAGCCCACCAAGGCGACGAUCGGUAGCUGGUCUGAGAGGACGACCAGCCACACUGGGACUGAGACA